ACCACGCCCCCCAACCCCGCGCGCCAGCCGGGAGCGGGGCCUGGCGGCCUUGGGGGCCGGCUGAGCUCCCGGCGCGGCGGUCUGAAGAGUUGGCGGACGGGCGGUCGAAGCGCCGAGCCCGGGGCGGGAGACGGCGGCCGCGCUGACCUCUCGGCUUUGCGGGGCUUGGCGCAGAGGCCCGCGGGGUUCACUUCCUUGAAAGUGAAGAAAGUGAAAGAAACCUUUCUUGACUACUCCAUGGGCAAUAACAACCCCACCUACUCUUUUUUCUUAACAGGAAUUAGUUUAUUCAUGAUGAACUACACACUUUUGUUUGGAAAACUGCAUUCCUUCUUACAGCUUCAAUAACACUAUGAUGUUCCCUGAUUAACACCUUAAACGAGAGAUUUUGUGAUUAAAGAUGGGAGCAGCAGGCAAGAAAAAUUCAUAGAUCAUGCUGCAGAUUCCAGCACUGGCAAAUGGAUGGAUAUUGGUGCAUUUUAUUAAACUAGAGACCAUAGGAUUUCUCACAGACAUAUUUGCGAGAAAAGGUGGAGAUGAGCUCGAAGAUCUUCAACAAGGCUGAGAUUGUCCAGCUGCAGGAAACCAGAGAAGCUUUGGUAUGGAAUGCAGUUUUCCUUGUGGGGACAGGGGAUGGGAAAAUGUGGAGUGAUGAGCGAGAGGGGACCUCCAUGUUGGUAGCAUAAAAGAGAAUCUC
This 697-nucleotide long non-coding RNA is filed under the name Equus asinus (donkey). RNAcentral's name for it is "lncRNA (ENSEASG00005035669.1)". Lineage: Eukaryota; Metazoa; Chordata; Mammalia; Perissodactyla; Equidae. The record is from RNAcentral.